GAUGAACGCUGGCGGCGUGCCUAAUACAUGCAAGUCGAGCGAACGGACGAGAAGCUUGCUUUUCUGAUGUUAGCGGCGGACGGGUGAGUAACACGUGGAUAACCUACCUAUAAGACUGGGAUAACUUCGGGAAACCGGAGCUAAUACCGGAUAAUAUUUUGAACCGCAUGGUUCAAAAGUGAAAGACGGUCUUGCUGUCACUUAUAGAUGGAUCCGCGCUGCAUUAGCUAGUUGGUAAGGUAACGGCUUACAAAGGCAACGAUGCAUAGCCGACCUGAGAGGGGGAUCGGCCACACUGGAACUGAGACACGGUCCAGACUCCUACGGGAGGCAGCAGUAGGGAAUCUUCCGCAAUGGGCGAAAGCCUGACGGAGCAACGCCGCGUGAGUGAUGAAGGUCUUCGGAUCGUAAAACUCUGUUAUUAGGGAAGAACAUAUGUGUAAGUAACUGUGCACAUCUUGACGGUACCUAAUCAGAAAGCCACGGCUAACUACGUG
Molecule: ribosomal RNA, 497 nt
Filed under: uncultured bacterium
Lineage: Bacteria
Description: partial 16S ribosomal RNA
Rfam family: Bacterial small subunit ribosomal RNA
Source: RNAcentral